CGGGCAGGGCUGGACAACCAGAGAGGUGGACCACGGCCGCCGCUUCCCCCUGACCGUCCAGGCUCAGCAGCACCGCCACCACCACCGCCGCCGCCUUCAUCAGCUGUCAGAAAUGGCUUCCAGGAUCCAGGUGAUGAUGAAUGGGAAAGCAGAUUUUCUUUUCAUCCUAUAUCUGAUUUACCACCUCCAGAGCCAUAUGUACCCGUGAACAGAAGUUAUCCCAGUAAACUAGCAAGAAAUGAAAGUAGAGGUGGCUCUGGCCGAAAAGAAAGAGGUGCCCCCCCGCUUCCGCCUAUACCAAGGUGAAAUGGGUUCUGGCCCAUCUUUGGGCGACGUCUGUUUUCAAGUUUCCUUCGAGUCAGCUCUCCUGUCCACAUCAUUGGAAAGUUGUCUGUUUUGCUUUAUUUCCACUUUUGGCUUGUCAGCUGGAACAAACUUCAGUCUAUUACAGAAGUAAUAGAUACAGCUUAUGAACUAUAGUUGCUCAAAGCUAUAAAUUUUAUUUGCUUAUACUGCAGGCUGUCAUGAAAGGCGUUUUGCGGACCAUACACAACAUACGUGCCUCAUGCUUACUGUGUCCAGCCCUGUCCCCUUGAAAGCUCCACAAGAUGUCUGGCUUUGAAUUGAAUUGAAUGAGAGCUGGAACAAUGCUGUUUCAUUCACUUUGGGUACAGUGGCUGUGUUAUUUGAAUGAUAAAGUACAGUCUAUUUUCUGUUUAAAAAACAGUUGCUGGGGAAAACCAUGUAGCCAAGAGUCCCCUGGAUCCUUCUUUGCAUGCCUAACUUGGCCCAUCUGCUUCUGCAAGCCUACUACAUGGUGACCAAGAGUUCAUCCUAAACCUUUUCACUUCAGCUUAGCCAAGCAAAUGUUGUUUUAAACAAUAGAUAGCACAUCCUGCCCCAAGGAUGGAGUGUGUCUGGCCUUGUUUUCAUCUGCGGAGAAUCUUCCAAAGAAAAGCACAAGAGAACAAUUCAGCAGCAUAAAAAUACCUUUUCUUUUUUACCCCUCUUUCCUUGUUUUUUAGUGGUGUUACACUUUUAGUCACCUAAUUCUUUCCUACUCUGAUGUGGACCACCCCACAGUCAUCCAUGUCCUGGAUUAUUGUAAAGCCUUCUACCUGAGACGACAUGCGAAGAGUCCUCAGCAAGUAGUCUCGGUGCAAAUGCAGCAAUCAUUGUAGUUGCAGGCUGCUUCUGUAAAGCAUUGCUAACACCAGUGCUCCACAGACUGCUUUCCAGUUGUUUCUUUGGUACAAUUAAAUGGUGGGUUUGACUUAAAAAGCUUCCUGGGGCUUAGGUCAGAAGUCUCAGAGAGAUUGUGUUUGACUUGCGUUACAGUAGAGCAGCUGAGGUCAAAAACGUGCUGAACUGAAAGCCCUUUGAUGUAGUGAAGAAGGUCUGGGGUUUUAGCGUUCAAGUGGGAGCAUCAGCUCCAAAAUUUGCUGUCUGCACUUGGUUCAAGAGAAAUGGGAACAUUUGGCCUUCUGAGUUUACCAUGAAGCCUGUCCUUUCAAACUUUGCUGAAAGGACUCUCCGCAGAGAGCUGCAAGGCUUACAUUAAUAGAAGAGAGAGUAAAGUAUUCUAACAUUGUGACGAUUGGUUUGUAUCUUUAAUGGCUUUUGAAUUUUGUACGUGAGAAAAGAGCUCAUUGUGUGAGUCCAUUUUACAAAUGGAUCUAAACACAUAUAAAAUGCCUUUGGAAAUUAGAGGUAGAGUGUAAUUCUGGAUUUGAAAUAUUGCUGAGUGAUAGCUCUUUGUUAAUUGGACUUCUGAAGGUUAGCUCUGAAAAAUUUCUCCUCAAUGGUUUCUGUUUCUUUGGUGUACUCCCUGGGAUCCCUACCAAGCCUGUAUCAGCAGCCAUGCUGAUUAAGAAAGACCAAUAAAUAAAAGAAUUAGUCAUGUACGUUAAGAAAAUGUUUUUCUAGCAUGGGAGACAUGAUCCUAAGUACGCUCUGUGGCUAGAAUGAGGUCAGUUUCUUUAGCUGCAGAGAGUCUGGACCCCACUGAAGCGUUUGUGCGUAGGGCUCUUUGCUCUGUCAGUGGGCACGGAGGGGCAGAUCUCCUUUCUGCCUGACAGCCUGGACAGGGGAUGACACAGAGUUGGGUUUGGCCAGAUCAAAUUUAAUUUGGCCUUUUCAGUGCUUGUUUACAAAAUCUUGUUAGCUGUGAUAGCAUUUGAUUAUGUACCUGUUUUUUACAUUUUUAUAUCUAAUGACAUAUUUUAAGUUACUAUUUAUGGUCUUGAACCUGCAAUUCAUGCGCAGGCGCGGGGGUGUAUCUACAUCUAAUUGCAGGAUCGUGGCUGUAAGAGUUUCUUAAACAGAUAUUAGUGGGACCUCCAUGUGACAGGUGCACCUUGGGAUCAAACCUAGCGCAGUACUGAAUUUGUAUAUGUAUUUUAUGGAUGUCACUUAAACAAAGUGCCUGUCUCUUUGGGAUAUUGUUAUGUGAAUAGAAGUCCAAAUAAGAUUUUUAGGAUAAUAACUUAAAGGAUAAAUUAUUGUAUUCAUGUUUUUAAACUGAAGCACUUAUAACUUUCUAAGGAACAACAUUUUGAAUUUAAGAAUACAAUAUUUUUAGUACCUUGACCUGAUUAAUAUCCUUAUCCUUAUUAGUAUCCAAACAGCUAUGCAGCCAAAAAAAAACCAAAACCCUCCAGAAACAAUACCUUUUUUGCAACUUACCUGCUUCCAGCAUGACUGUUCGAGUAAGUCAACAAAAAUGCUGCACAUUGUUCUGCCAACUCUCUGCAUCAUUUGAAAUACCCUAUAUUUGAUCUUUUGAGCAAGGUUUUCUGACCAGAAAUUCUGGACCACUACCAAAGACUUGGCAAACCAGCUUCAGUCUCACUUUAAAAUGUGCUGUGUAAAAGGCCCUCAGUCAAAAAGCCAAGAAACCUGAGCUGCUUCAGUUUUAGCACUUCUUUGUACUAUAGAAACCUCUUCAAAAGGGAUGUUUGGCAUAUAUGUAAAAUAGCUUAACAAUGCAGAAAGAGGUAUUUUUUCAUCUAACAACUUUACUAUUUAUAUCUUUCGCUAUAAAAGUCCCUAGAUAUAUUCCAGAACAAUGCAACAUUUUAUCAUUCAAUGUAUUGCUUCAUAUAUCAGUAGCUAAUUAGACUAUGAUCACUAUUAAAGUAUUUAUUUCACUAUGAAGUGUUAAAAAGGAAGAAUGCAAAACAUACUGAAUCAGUGGUGCCUUAUGACUUUUUUAGUCAACUGUUCUGUGUCUCACUAGAAAAAUUAAUAGGCGUCGUUCUGCCAAGUCCUAAUGUAAAUAGCGGCAACAGUAGCAUUAUGCAGUGUUUGAGCCAAGUCCUGCUGUUGUGCCGUGCUCGGUCUGCUAAUUUCAGAUUGAGCUCAGUGUAUGGAGAGACUAUUGGAUCAGUCUUUAGGUGAGAUGUAGGUGGGCACUGGUUAACCUCACAAUCAACUCUUGGUAUGGCUCUGGAAAUUUAACCCUUUCCCCAAACCAGUGUCUUACCCUGCUGUCCAUACAGCCCAGCUGACUUCAGCGUGGUUGCAUAGGUUAUUAGAGAACUAAAUUUGAUUCACUGCUUUCAUAUAAGAUUUAGUGGGUUUGUUUCAAUGGCAUUGUAUUGUAAACCUUCACACCUCAAACUAUCUCUGUAUGUCAUCACUAGGACGUUGUGUGCCGAUGGCCAUGGAUGUUCAUUUUUGUUUAAUUCAAGUCAGUAAAUGAAAUGGGAAUAACUUUUGUACCAUGUGUUAAUAAUUUCUGCUCAAUAUUUUUGGAAGAAAAGCACAUGUUAUGUCUGUUACGACUUUCUGCACCAGCCUUUGGGAGAAGAGGUCACAGUGAUUAAUGUUCAGGAUUGUUAAAGGAAACGCAGCCUGUGAUUCAGGAAGCACGUAUUUCUGCAAAUGAACUACUUCUUAAAGAAGGUCACAAAGUUCUUGUUUAGAAGCCAGCAUUUCCCAACACUAAAAGAAGCAUAAAAGUGAUUUUAUUUUUCUGCAAGACUGAACUAUUAAAGAAGUUCUUUAAAUUGUCGCUUAAAAAACUGGAUGGUGGUUUCUCCUGGAAGCAGCAACUGUUUACAUGUCACGUGCAGAAGUAGGUCUCUGUUGGAGGAGAAGAUGAGGGAGCUAAACUGCUAUCAUGCUUCACAUAUAUUGUAACACAACAAUUUGCUGUGCAAAAGUAUGCAAAUAAAAAGGGUAUUUUUUGCCUUAGAAGCAAAGAAUGGAGUUGAAUGGUCAAACUGGGAUUGUUUCAAACAGAAUGUCAAACGUCAAGAGACCUAGAGAGGGCCCCUCAGCCACAGGAUGCUGGAAAGGAUCAGAGUGCUCAAGGAACUACAAACGAAUUGGCUGAACGUUGUUAUCAAUACUAGAGUACAAAUCGCGAUAUAAGAUGUGCAUGUAUGUAAUACCACAUCAUAAUAGUAUGAACACUGUCGUCUCACAGUCGGGUGCGACCAACCUGUUAUGGCGGUACAUUGACUCUGUGUAACAUACAUUGUAUGAGCUUUACUCUUUCAAUCGGUAUUCAUCAGAAAAUAAGGAGAAUCUCUAUUCUAGGACACCCCAUAACACAUUUAAGCGUAGCUAGUUCAUGGACUGGUUCUUCAUGUAUGUUAGGAGAAAACUGGGAUCUUUUAGCCUGGAAGGUGGAAGCAUCCGGACCAUUCACUUAAAAUGUGACCUUGGAGCACUGGCAAAAAGGGGAGUGUUGGAGUUACUCAGCAGAAGCAGGGCACACGUGUCUGUUCUCAGUGAGUGAGUGUGCAGGAGGUAGGUAGGCAGACUAAAAGAAAAAAAAUGGAAACCGCGUGUCUUAAAAAAGGGAGUAACCCUUCAUGUUGCCAUUUUGAAAUACAGUUUGUCUGUGAUAAAUGUUCUUUACUGUAAACUAAUGCAUGCAAAGGAAGACCUCUGAAUUUGGACUUCCAAAGCCACACAAGACUAUGAGAGAGGGAGAGAAACAUAAUUUAAAACAUAGGCUGAGCAGAAAGUACCACGUUUUUAUCAGAUGCUUAAAGUUUGAGCUUUUUAUAAAACAGUAACCUAGUUCUGUGAAUAUUUUUUUGCUUCACAUUUAUUUUGU
This is a long non-coding RNA of Egretta garzetta (little egret), 5071 nucleotides long. RefSeq lists it as uncharacterized. NCBI's taxonomy places the organism in Eukaryota, Metazoa, Chordata, Aves, Pelecaniformes, Ardeidae. The transcript is spliced from 3 exons. The record is from RefSeq and is a predicted model, not a curated record.